GGCUGAACCUGCAGAUUUUGUCCACAUUUACAAUGCUGGAGGAGAGUACAGAAAACGUCAAGAAAUUGACAUGUUUGGCGAGAUAUCUGGUGUAUCUCUGAGUCCAGACGAUGAGUCUCUUUACAUCGGUAUCUGGGAUCGAACAUAUGCAAGCUUGCUCCAAUACAACCGAAGGCGUUCUUCCGUAUAUGUUGAUCUGUUCACAUAGACCUACUGAUGGUUUGUUUCUUCACCGCGGGCCGAUGUACCGGAGAAAAUAGGCUGAUGAAAUCAUGUUGAACUUUGAAACUUGGCUCAGUUUUUGGUCCUUAGUAUACCAUGUACAGUGUCCUUAAGAAAAAUGCCUUACAUAUAGAGCCUUAUUUCUAGUACUAGUAUAGUUAGACUUCUCUGUGAACAGUCAUUUUCUAUUACAACAUUUCGCUUUUGGUACGACUUUUCA
RNAcentral lists this unclassified non-coding RNA (442 nucleotides) under Hevea brasiliensis (rubber tree). Lineage: Eukaryota; Viridiplantae; Streptophyta; Magnoliopsida; Malpighiales; Euphorbiaceae. The record is from RNAcentral.